Long non-coding RNA from Alligator mississippiensis (American alligator), 4325 nucleotides. RefSeq lists it as uncharacterized. The transcript has 4 exons. The record is from RefSeq and is a predicted model, not a curated record. Lineage: Eukaryota; Metazoa; Chordata; Crocodylia; Alligatoridae.
CACUUCACUACAAUGAGAGAUGAGUACUCUUCCAUGUAAUAACUGCUUGUUGUUUUGGGGCGAUGCUAACGUUUGGACCGUGAGCGGAGGCGAGGUGAGGUAGAGGUAAAGCGACCUAGAGCCACAACGUUUUGGGAGGUGGAGGACACAGGGGACUGCGCACCGAUGGUGACUUCUGGGUCACCUGGAAGGAGGCCUCUGCCCUUUUGCUGGAGUUGUGUGCAUGAGCAGAGCGUGUGGAGGUGCCUGUGUACCCUGUGCAGAGAGGAAGGCAAUUGGGGAUGAGGCUGGGCUGGAGAAGGAGCAGAAAUAUGGCAGGUUGGGAUCCUGCCCCGCGUGGAGGGAAAUGAAUGCAGGUUCAGGGAGUGGAGCCAAGCAGUGCCCAUGGAGGUGGAAGCAGGAGGAAUUGAAUGCUGUGACGUGUGUUGGCGCCCAGUCCCUAACCCAAACCCAGUCCCGGAUUCAUUUGUGCACCCUUUACCUAACCCAAACCAGUACUCAUUGGCAAACCUGUUCCCUAACCCUAACCCUUUGCCUCACCUUAACCUGGACCCGGAUUAAUUUGUGGACCCAUUCCGUACACCGAACCGACACCGGACUCAUUUCUGAACCCAUUCCUUAACAGUAACCUGGUCCCAGAUUCAUUUAAGAACCCAUUUUGUAAUGCUAACUGGUUCCCUAACCAUAAUCCAGACCCAGACUCAUGUCUGGAGCUGUUCUCUAACUGUAACCCUUUGCCUGACCCUAACCCAAACCUGAGCUUAUUUCUAGACCCAUUCUCUAACCCUAACUGACGGCCCGAUCCAGUUGUGGAUCCAUUCCCUAACUAACAUGCACCCCAACCCUAACCAACACUAAGAUACAUACGUGGACCCAUUGUCUGACCCUAAAGCACACCUGGACCCGGAUUUGUUUGUGGACCCAUUCUGUACCCCUAGUACUUGGCCUAAGCAUAACUAGCCCUAGAUUCCUUUCUGAAUCUGUUCCCUAACCCUAGCACUUGGCCUAACCCUAACUGGCCCUGGAUUAAUUUGUGGACAUGUUCCCUAACCCUAACACUUGACGCAAGCCUAACAAACCCUGGAUUUGUUUAUGAGUCUGUUCCCUAACCCUGGCACUCAGCGUAACCCUAACUGGCCCCAGAUUCAGUUCUGCAUCUGUGUUGUAACCGUAGGAUUCGGUGUAACCGUAAGUGUACUCGAAUUCAUUUCAAUCUGUUCCCUAACCCUAGCCCUUUGCCUUGACUUGGAUUCAUUUGCGGACCUGUUCUGUCCCACUAACCUUCGGCCUAACCCUAACUGGCUCUGGACUUAUAUGUGGACCUGUUCUGUGCCCCUAGCUCUUCGCCUAACCCUAACUGGCCCCGAAUUAAUUUCUGAAUCUGUUUCCUAAUCCUAGCACUUGGCGUAACCCUAACUGGGCCUGAAUUAAUUUCUGAAACUGUUCCCUGACCCUAGCACUCGGCCUGACCCUAACUGGCCCCGGAUUCAUUUGUGGACCUGUUCCCUAAACGUAGCGCUUGGCCUAACCCUAAUGGGGCCUGGAUUGAUCUUGGAAUCCGUUCCCUAACCCUAGCACUUGGUAUAACCGUAACUGGCUCCGAAGUAAUUUCUGAAUCCGUUCCCUAACCCUAGCAUUUGGCGUAACCCUAGCUCGAUCUGGAUUAAUUUCUGAAUAUGUUCCCUAACUGUAGCACUCGGUGUAACCAUAACUGGGCCCAGAUUUGUUUCUGAAUGUGUUCACUAACCAUUGCACUCAUCGUAACGGUAACUAGACUUGGAUUUGUUUCUGAAUCUGUUGUCUACCCCUAGCACUUGGCCUAACCCUAACUGGCCCGAAAUUCAUUUCUGAAUCUGUUCCCUAACCCUAGCAAUUGGCCUAACCCUAAGUGGCCCCAAAUUCGUUUCUGAAUCCGUUCCCUAACCCUACCACUUGGCCUAACUCUAACGGGGUGCAGAUUCAUUUUUUAAUCCAUUCCCUAACACUUGGUGUAACCCUAACUCGAUCUGGAUUCAUUUCUGAAUAUGUUCCCUAACCCUAGCACUCGGUGUAACCGUAACCUGGCCCAGAUUCAUUUCUGACUCCAUUCCCUAACCCUAGCACUCGGCAUAACCCUAACUGGCCCUGGAUUCAUUUGUGAAUAUGUUGCCUAACCCUAGCACUUGGCCUAACACUAAAUGGACUCGGAUUCACUUGUGGACCCAUUCUGUCCCCCUAGCACUCAGCCUUAGCCUAACUGGCCCUGGAUGUAUUUGUGGCUCUGUUCUGUCUCCCUAGCACUUGGCCUAACCCUAACUGGCCUUGGAUUCAUUUCUGAAUCCGUGGCCUAACUGUAGCACUUGCCCUAACCCUAACUGGCCCCAGGUUCAUUUCUGAAUCCGUUCCCUAACCCCAGCACUCGGCGUAAGCCUAACUGGACUCGGAUUUAUUUGUGAAUCUGUUCCCUAUCUCUAGCACUCGAUGUAACCCUAACUGGGCCUGCAUUCAUUUCUGAAUAUGUUCCCUAACGCUAGUAGUCUGCGUAACCGUAACUGGCCCCGGAUUUGUUUGUGGACCCGUUCUGUCCCCGCUAGCACUCGGCGUAACCCCAACUGGGCCUGGAUUCAUUUCUGAAUCUGUUCCCCAACCCUACCACUCAGCGUAACCCUAACUGGCCCCGGAUUUGUUUCUGAAUCCAUUCCCCAACCCUAGCAUUUGGCGUAAGACUAACUGGAUGUGGAUUCCUUUGUGGACCUGUUCCGUAACCAUAGCACGCAGCGUAACCCUAAGUGGACCUGGAUUCAUUUGUGGACUUGUGCUGUCCCCCUAGGACUUGGUGCUGUUGGAGAAGAAAACCCCAGGCCUUAAUAUGUUUGUAAGGAGUGUUUAGUGGAAUGUUCCUUAACCACUGAGCAGACCUAUGUUGUCAAUAGGUCAACCCAUAAUUUUCCCAGGUUUGCAGUUUGCCGCAUUUGCAGGUUCUUUGGUCCAACUAGUUCUUUGUUCAACUUAGUAUAUCUUUUGUCAUGUGACCUGCAAUUGAAACGUAUAAAAGGUUUGCUUUGAUGGUAUGUGGGGGACAGGCUCAGUGCCUCCCUCCUGCAGCUGCUUGUAAAGAAAGGUCUCUGACAACUUUGUGAGUAAAGAACAGUGACGUUUGUUUUUUCCGCUAUUCUUGGUGCUGUGAGUCGGAUGGCAAUGCCUGGCUGUGAGUACCGAGAUCCUUGUGGACCGUUCCCCUCUGAAUCCCCAGUCACCAAAUCAUGGUCCAAGAAGCUUUACGUCAACCACCAGAUGUUCCCUGUCACAACCUCAAACCAGGUGAUUGGGUGUAUGUAAAGGUCCAUCAUCUGAAAAAUGUGCUUGAGCUGACAUGGAACGAACUGUUCCAGGUGUUUUGGACUACUAACACUGCUGUUUGUUGCCAAGGUCACUAGAUGUGGACUUGCACUGUAAAAAGGUAUCACCUCUAUUGGACCCUGAAACAGUUGAAUUGCAACCUGGGCUAAGACCUUUCUCUGAGGCCAAGGACAAAGAGAGUCAAGACCUCAGUCCGGCAAAUGAGGAGCAUCAGGGUGCAAGUGCUAGUAACCUCUCCCCUGAACCCAACACUUCAGCCUGGCCAGAUUCACCAGUUGGCGAUCGAAGAUAUCAUCUCUGACCCCAAUGAAUAAUAUCCAGACUUGAUACGUGUAUAUACCAGAUGCUUCUAGCGCUAUUGAGAACCCGGCCGAAAUUAUUGAGAAAGAAGCCGCUAAACUUCAUCAAACUGAUCAAUGGAGUGUUUGCGACUGGUUUGGCACAUUUGGGGCCAAAUUAUUUUAUAGUGCAAUCAUGGUCCUGGGGUUUAUUCUUUUUCUACAAGUGUUCCUCUUGUUGCUAUGGAAUUGGCACCUUAGUACAUCCCACCAAAGGUGCAACAGUUGUGUCUAAUGUGAUACUGGGUCAAUUGAGAUUAGUCUGUCAAUUGUUCUGAAGGGAGCAUUGAAAGAUACUCUAGCUAAGAACAAGUGUCACUGUGCCUCGCAGGAUGCAUAAAUCAGAAUGUUCUCACAUUGGCCCAUUUUGCAGUUUGUCAGCCAACACAUGGUUACAAAUCUUAUCAGUUGUACUAUAAGUACAAAAACGGGGCAAUGUAAAAGAAAACCCCAGGCCUUAAUAUGGUCUAAGAAGUGCUGUGUGGAAUUUUCCAUAACGACUGAGCAGACCUAUGAGGUUAGUGGGUCAACCCAUAAUUUUCCUGCGUUUCCAGGUUCUCGAUUCCAGCUAGUUCUCUGUUCUCCUUUAUUAUAUCGUUUGUCAAGUGAUAUGACAUUGAAACGUAUAAAAGGUUUGCUUUGAUUUUC